Molecule: ribosomal RNA, 490 nt
Filed under: uncultured bacterium
Lineage: Bacteria
Description: partial 16S ribosomal RNA
Rfam family: Bacterial small subunit ribosomal RNA
Source: RNAcentral
AUUGAACGCUGGCGGCAGGCCUAACACAUGCAAGUCGAACGGUAACAGGAAGACGCUUGCUUCUUUGCUGACGAGUGGCGGACGGGUGAGUAAUGUCUGGGAAACUGCCUGAUGGAGGGGGAUAACUACUGGAAACGGUAGCUAAUACCGCAUAACGUCGCAAGACCAAAGAGGGGGACCUUCGGGCCUCUUGCCAUCGGAUGUGCCCAGAUGGGAUUAGCUAGUAGGUGGGGUAACGGCUCACCUAGGCGACGAUCCCUAGCUGGUCUGAGAGGAUGACCAGCCACACUGGAACUGAGACACGGUCCAGACUCCUACGGGAGGCAGCAGUGGGGAAUAUUGCACAAAGGGCGCAAGCCUGAUGCAGCCAUGCCGCGUGUAUGAAGAAGGCCUUCGGGUUGUAAAGUACUUUCAGCGGGGAGGAAGGGAGUAAAGUUAAUACCUUUACUCAUUGACGUUACCCGCAGAAGAAGCACCGGCUAACUCCGUG